GGACCGGACAAACGUUAUUCGGAAUCACUGGGCUUAAAGAGUACGUAGGCGGCUCAGAAAGUUGGAUGUGAAAUCCCUCGGCUCAACCGAGGAAUUGCGUUCAAAACUACUGAGCUUGAGGAAGGUAGGGGUGAGCGGAACUGAUGGUGGAGCGGUGAAAUGCGUUGAUAUCAUCAGGAACACCAGUGGCGAAGGCGGCUCACUGGGCCUUUUCUGACGCUGAGGUACGAAAGCUAGGGUAGCGAACGGGAUUAGAUACCCCGGUAGUCCUAGCUGUAAACGAUGAGCACUAGAUCGAGCGGACCUCCACAUCUGCUGGGUCGUAGCGAAAGUGUUAAGUGCUCCGCCUGGGGAGUAUGGUCGCAAGGCUGAA
Molecule: ribosomal RNA, 373 nt
Filed under: uncultured bacterium
Lineage: Bacteria
Description: bacterial SSU rRNA
Rfam family: Bacterial small subunit ribosomal RNA
Source: RNAcentral